Molecule: transfer RNA, 82 nt
Filed under: Candidatus Desulforudis audaxviator MP104C
Lineage: Bacteria; Bacillati; Bacillota; Clostridia; Thermoanaerobacterales; Desulforudaceae
Rfam family: tRNA
About the family: Transfer RNA (tRNA) molecules are approximately 80 nucleotides in length. Their secondary structure includes four short double-helical elements and three loops (D, anti-codon, and T loops).
Source: Rfam by way of RNAcentral
GUCGGAGUGGCGGAAUGGCAGACGCGCACGUUUGAGGGGCGUGUGGGGUACUCCCGUGGGGGUUCAAGUCCCCCCUCCGACA